GAUGAACGCUGGCGGCGUGCCUAAUACAUGCAAGUCGAGCGAACGGACGAGAAGCUUGCUUUUCUGAUGUUAGCGGCGGACGGGUGAGUAACACGUGGAUAACCUACCUAUAAGACUGGGAUAACUUCGGGAAACCGGAGCUAAUACCGGAGAAUAUUUUGAACCGCAUGGUUCAAAAGUGAAAGACGGUCUUGCUGUCACUUAUAGAUGGAUCCGCGCUGCAUUAGCUAGUUGGUAAGGUAACGGCUUACCAAGGCAACGAUGCAUAGCCGACCUGAGAGGGUGAUCGGCCACACUGGAACUGAGACACGGUCCAGACUCCUACGGGAGGCAGCAGUAGGGAAUCUUCCGCAAUGGGCGAAAGCCUGACGGAGCAACGCCGCGUGAGUGAUGAAGGUCUUCGGAUCGUAAAACUCUGUUAUUAGGGAAGAACAUAUGUGUAAGUAACUGUGCACAUCUUGACGGUAACUAGUCAGAAAGCCACGGCUAACUACGUG
Molecule: ribosomal RNA, 497 nt
Filed under: uncultured bacterium
Lineage: Bacteria
Description: partial 16S ribosomal RNA
Rfam family: Bacterial small subunit ribosomal RNA
Source: RNAcentral